This is a microRNA precursor of Cercocebus atys (sooty mangabey), 89 nucleotides long. The record is from Ensembl. Lineage: Eukaryota; Metazoa; Chordata; Mammalia; Primates; Cercopithecidae.
ACCUCCGGGACGGCUGGGCGCCGGCGGCCGGGAGCUCCGCGUUUCCUGAAUCCCGGCGGGCCCGCCCGGCGCCCGUCCGCCCGCGGGUC